This 253-nucleotide unclassified non-coding RNA is filed under the name uncultured Flavobacteriaceae bacterium. RNAcentral's name for it is "contains 16S-23S intergenic spacer region". It matches the Rfam family "Bacterial small subunit ribosomal RNA", at positions 524 to 776 of the family's 1533-position model. Lineage: Bacteria; Pseudomonadati; Bacteroidota; Flavobacteriia; Flavobacteriales; Flavobacteriaceae. The record is from RNAcentral.
UACGGAGGAUCCAAGCGUUAUCCGGAAUCAUUGGGUUUAAAGGGUCCGCAGGCGGGACAGUAAGUCAGUGGUGAAAGUCUGCCGCUUAACGGUAGAACUGCCAUUGAUACUGCUGUCCUUGAGUAAUUAUGAAGUGGUUAGAAUAUGUAGUGUAGCGGUGAAAUGCAUAGAUAUUACAUAGAAUACCGAUUGCGAAGGCAGAUCACUAAUAAUUUACUGACGCUGAUGGACGAAAGCGUAGGUAGCGAACAGG